GGGCGGUUGGCUCAGGGGUAGAGCGCUUCCUUGACACGGAAGAGGUCACAGGUUCAAAUCCUGUACUGCCCA
RNAcentral lists this transfer RNA (72 nucleotides) under Armatimonadota bacterium. It matches the Rfam family "tRNA". Rfam says of the family: Transfer RNA (tRNA) molecules are approximately 80 nucleotides in length. Their secondary structure includes four short double-helical elements and three loops (D, anti-codon, and T loops). The record is from Rfam by way of RNAcentral. Lineage: Bacteria; Bacillati; Armatimonadota. RNAcentral also lists the same sequence under 2 other names.